UGCAGAAGAUGAUAUAAAUAGAAACCAUUGCUGAUAUACUGUUACUAUUCUAACCUGCUGUA
RNAcentral lists this small RNA (62 nucleotides) under Salix viminalis (osier). The record is from RNAcentral. Lineage: Eukaryota; Viridiplantae; Streptophyta; Magnoliopsida; Malpighiales; Salicaceae.